GUGCAGCAGUCGCGAAAACUCUGCAAUACGCGAAAGCGUGACAGGGCUACCCCGAGUGUCGUCCGCUGAGGACGACUUUUCCACGCUGUAAGGAGGCGUGGGAAUAAGGAGAGGGCAAGUCUGGUGUCAGCCGCCGCGGUAAUACCAGCUCUCCGAGUGGUAGGGACGAUUAUUGGGCCUAAAGCGUCCGUAGCCGGCCAAGCAAGUUUCCCGUUAAAUCCAGCGAUCCAAUCGUUGGACUGCGGGAGAUACUGUUUGGCUAGGGGGCGAGAGAGGCCAACGGUAUUCCCGGGGUAGGGGUGAAAUCCCAUAAUCCCGGGAGGACCACCAGUGGCGAAGGCUGUUGGCUAGAACGCGCUCGACGGUGAGGGACGAAAGCUGGGGGAGCGAACCGGAUUAGAUACCCGGGUAGUCC
This 415-nucleotide ribosomal RNA is filed under the name uncultured crenarchaeote. Its description in RNAcentral is "partial 16S ribosomal RNA". It matches the Rfam family "Archaeal small subunit ribosomal RNA", at positions 330 to 747 of the family's 1478-position model. Lineage: Archaea; Thermoproteati; Thermoproteota. The record is from RNAcentral.